CCUGGUGCUUAUAGCGCUACGGAACCACACCGACCCCAUCCCGAACUCGGAGGUGAAACGUAGCUGCGGCGAAGAUAGUUGGUGGGUAGCUGCCUGCUAAAAUAGCUCAGUGCCAGGA
Non-coding RNA from Lyngbya majuscula, 118 nucleotides. NCBI's taxonomy places the organism in Bacteria, Bacillati, Cyanobacteriota, Cyanophyceae, Oscillatoriales, Microcoleaceae. The record is from Rfam.